GAUUAUGUUGAUAGUAGGGGUGUUUCUUUUCGAAGGCCAGAUACGUACAUCUCUGUAAACGACGAUGAGGUAUGUAGAGCGAUGACAAAAAGUACAGCGAACUACGACAUGGAUUCUGAUGACGAGGAAUGGCUAAUCGAGUUCAAUAAUGGGCUUACUGCAACAGAGAAGCACCAUGAAUGUAUCUCAGAGGAGAAUUUUGAGUUGAUGGUUGAUGCUUUUGAGAAGGGAUUUUUCUGUAAUCCUGAUG
This 250-nucleotide unclassified non-coding RNA is filed under the name Hevea brasiliensis (rubber tree). Lineage: Eukaryota; Viridiplantae; Streptophyta; Magnoliopsida; Malpighiales; Euphorbiaceae. The record is from RNAcentral.